CGAAUCAUUCACAAUGGGCGAAAGCCUGAUGGUGCGACGCCGCGUGAGGGAUGAAGGCCUUCGGGUUGUAAACCUCUGUCACCGGGGAAGAAACGCUUCAAGUUAAUAGCUUGAAGCCUGACUUAACCCGGAGCGGAAGCAGUGGCUAACUCUGUGCCAGCAGCCGCGGUAAUACAGAGACUGCAAGCGUUAUUCGGAUUCACUGGGCGUAAAGGGUGCGCAGGCGGUUGGGUGUGUCAGAUGUGAAAUCCCGAGGCUCAACCUCGGAACUGCGUCUGAAACUACUCGACUAGAGUACUGGAGAGGGUAACGGAAUUCACGGUGUAGCAGUGAAAUGCGUAGAUAUCGUGAGGAACACCAGAGGCGAAGGCGGUUACCUGGACAGUUACUGACGCUCAGGCACGAAAGCAUGGGGAGCAAAA
RNAcentral lists this ribosomal RNA (422 nucleotides) under uncultured bacterium. RNAcentral describes it as "bacterial SSU rRNA". It matches the Rfam family "Bacterial small subunit ribosomal RNA", at positions 358 to 773 of the family's 1533-position model. The record is from RNAcentral.